RNAcentral lists this ribosomal RNA (468 nucleotides) under uncultured bacterium. Its description in RNAcentral is "partial 16S ribosomal RNA". It matches the Rfam family "Bacterial small subunit ribosomal RNA", at positions 28 to 507 of the family's 1533-position model. The record is from RNAcentral.
GACGAACGCUGGCGGCGUGCUUAACACAUGCAAGUCGAACGGAAAGGCCCUGCUUUUGUGGGGUGCUCGAGUGGCGAACGGGUGAGUAACACGUGAGUAACCUGCCCUUGACUUUGGGAUAACUUCAGGAAACUGGGGCUAAUACCGGAUAGGAGCUCCUGCUGCAUGGUGGGGGUUGGAAAGUUUCGGCGGUUGGGGAUGGACUCGCGGCUUAUCAGCUUGUUGGUGGGGUAGUGGCUUACCAAGGCUUUGACGGGUAGCCGGCCUGAGAGGGUGACCGGCCACAUUGGGACUGAGAUACGGCCCAGACUCCUACGGGAGGCAGCAGUGGGGAAUAUUGCACAAUGGGCGGAAGCCUGAUGCAGCAACGCCGCGUGCGGAAUGACGGCCCUCGGGUUGUAAACCGCUUUCGCCUGUGACGAAGCGUGAGUGACGGUAAUGGGUAAAGAAGCACCGGCUAACUACGUG